RNAcentral lists this ribosomal RNA (155 nucleotides) under uncultured bacterium. RNAcentral's name for it is "partial 16S ribosomal RNA". It matches the Rfam family "Bacterial small subunit ribosomal RNA", at positions 355 to 507 of the family's 1533-position model. The record is from RNAcentral.
UGAGGAAUAUUGGUCAAUGGGCGAGAGCCUGAACCAGCCAAGUAGCGUGCAGGAAGACGGCCCUAUGGGUUGUAAACUGCUUUUAUCAGGGGAUAAAGUGAGGGACGUGUCCCUUAUUGCAGGUACCUGAUGAAUAAGGACCGGCUAAUUCCGUG